Molecule: long non-coding RNA, 423 nt
Filed under: Ananas comosus (pineapple)
Lineage: Eukaryota; Viridiplantae; Streptophyta; Magnoliopsida; Poales; Bromeliaceae
Description: long non-coding RNA (ACOM_LNC018491)
Source: RNAcentral
UGUUGGAUUAAGCUAUCUAUUGAUAACUUAUUCAGUAUGCACGAUCAUGUUUUGAUGUAUAAACAUUUUUUUCAAUAUUUCUCAAGAGACUUAAAAAGUAUUUUGUAGAUGGACAGUGUGAUUAAAUGUCUAGAACAAAAAUAGCUAAUAUAUUUAUCAUUUGAAGAUAUUUUUCAGAACGCAAUAAAUCACCUCAUAAGAAGAAUAUACGCCGCUGCAAAAUUCUAAAUGCCGUGACCUUUCUAAAAGCAAAGUUCGAACUCCUUGUUUCCAAGCAAACACGAAAAUCCUCGUCUGAAAAAAUUAUCCUCCAAUAAUUUAUUCCAACAUCCAAUCACUUUCAGUCACUUUCAAUAGGAUUCUAACUCAAUACAUAAUACACAUAUCAAUACUUUAUUCGACAUAUUGCUUUAAUUUAAUCAA